This is a long non-coding RNA of Hyposmocoma kahamanoa, 150 nucleotides long. RefSeq lists it as uncharacterized. NCBI's taxonomy places the organism in Eukaryota, Metazoa, Arthropoda, Insecta, Lepidoptera, Cosmopterigidae. The record is from RefSeq and is a predicted model, not a curated record. The transcript has 3 exons.
AACCCUGAAAAACAAACCUAUUUUUAUGGUGGAUUAUGUGUCAAAUGUACCAGAUGAUUUUGAAGAGGAAUCUAUGGCGAAGAGAACAUUACAACUGCGUUCUGCUAGCGAGUGCAAAAGAUUACACAAUGUGGUAGGUGCGGGAAUAAC